Molecule: ribosomal RNA, 446 nt
Filed under: uncultured bacterium
Lineage: Bacteria
Description: partial 16S ribosomal RNA
Rfam family: Bacterial small subunit ribosomal RNA
Source: RNAcentral
CCUACGGGUGGCAGCAGUCGAGAAUCAUUCACAAUGGGGGAAACCCUGAUGGUGCGACGCCGCGUGGGGGAAUGAAGGUCUUCGGAUUGUAAACCCCUGUCAUGUGGGAGCAAAUUAAAAAGAUAGUACCACAAGAGGAAGAGACGGCUAACUCUGUGCCAGCAGCAGCGGUAAUACAGAGGUCUCAAGCUUUGUUCGGAGUCACUGGGCGUAAGGCGUGCGUAGGCUGUUUCGUAAGUCGUGUGUGAAAGGCGCGGGCUCAACCCGCGGACGGCACAUGAUACUGCGAGACUAGAGUAAUGGAGGGGGAACCGGAAUUCUCGGUGUAGCAGUGAAAUGCGUAGAUAUCGAGAGGAACACUCGUGGCGAAGGCGGGUUCCUGGACAUUAACUGACGCUGAGGCACGAAGGCCAGGGGAGCGAAAGGGAUUAGAUACCCCUGUAGUC